This 1295-nucleotide long non-coding RNA is filed under the name Dromaius novaehollandiae (emu). RNAcentral describes it as "lncRNA (ENSDNVG00000014871.1)". Lineage: Eukaryota; Metazoa; Chordata; Aves; Casuariiformes; Dromaiidae. The record is from RNAcentral.
UGCUCGCUCACUCUCCCUGCGUUGGAGCUGGUCGGGCUUUGGCACCCGCGCUGUACCGCUGGUGAGGACCACAGAGGGGUCCACGCCGUCCUCGCCUGCAGGAUGGCUUCAGGACGAGUCCCAUUGGCCACGAAGGGGGAGAGAUGGGAACAUGGGCUCCUGAGCUGUCGCUGCCACCCUGCAGAUGGAGGGCCAUCAGGAGCAAACCGUCCUGGACCGACGGGCUGAAGAGCUUCGUUGGAGACCUUUCCAUCUCCAUCUUCUGCCGAGUCCCAAAGUCUCUUGGAGCUGCCUUUGCCCGUGCAUCAUCCUGUUGAACUUUCUUCACCACCRUGGCCAUAUACCUCUCCUCCUUCAGCGUGUCUCCUUGCAACAUCACCUGCGUGCCAGGGCUGGAGCUGCGGGCGCAUGGUCCCCCACCCCUGCAGUGAGGCAAGGUGUUGGUCUGUCUCUCCUGCAUCUCCAAACGGCAGCUAGACACCAGGCCUACUCCUGCUUUCAGCGCGUCUCUCCCCAUCAUCUUCAUGGUUCACAUCCGAAAUGAUCCCCAUCACUCAAGGUGAUCCAAGAAGUGAUCGGAGCUGGUUUCGGGAAGCAGACUGGUGCUGUACGACUCACCUCACGCUGUCUCCUCCACACCUCCCCAUCACAGCGAGCACCAGGAACAUGUCAUCUCCCGUGACUGUGCUGCCGUMGCUGCCUCCAUGCGGGCUCUGAAAAUAAGGAAGCUCAUCCUGCUCUAACAGGGUCAUAAAUAACAUAGGUUGGAAGGGGCCUUAGGGGUCACCUGGUCCAACCCCCUGUCCAAAGCUGGUUUGACCUUCAGGUCAGCUCAUGAAAAGAGGAGGACCCUGAGUGACUGAUGGGCUGGCUGCAGGCACAUCACAGCUUGCCACCUCUGGUGAGAUCGUCUGAGAUGUCUUCUCCACUAACAGGUGAAUGUGAGCUACUCCUUUGGGUAUGAGCCUCUAAAAGGUGGGGGGAAAGGUCAUAGCUUCCUGCAAAUGGGGUUAUUUGUUUGAAACUGGGUGCAGAUGCAGCUUUCUCCCUCAUUAGCACUGAGCGAUGCGGCGGCUUUCCUGCCUCGGCGGCUGYGGCCGUGCUGCCUGCUCGGGUGCACCCGUUUAACCAGUGCCCAGGAGAGCAGCAGCCACAAACCACCUGCAAAAUAGAUGUUGUGCUCUGAGCUCUUCCCUGCCCCGACUCCGCUGCCCUUUGCCAGCAACAUAAAAUCAUUAUUUCUCAUUGCAUUUAAAUAGCUUGGAAAUUGGCUUUUCUCUUCUGCUGCUGCGAGG